RNAcentral lists this ribosomal RNA (437 nucleotides) under uncultured bacterium. RNAcentral describes it as "partial 16S ribosomal RNA". It matches the Rfam family "Bacterial small subunit ribosomal RNA", at positions 29 to 507 of the family's 1533-position model. The record is from RNAcentral.
AGCGAACGCUGGCGGCAGGCUUAACACAUGCAAGUCGAGCGGGCAUCCUUGUGGUGUCAGCGGCAGACGGGUGAGUAACGCGUGGGAACGUGCCCUUCGGUUCGGAAUAACUCAGGGAAACUUGAGCUAAUACCGGAUACGUGCGAGAGCAGAAAGGUUUAUCUGCCGAAGGAUCGGCCCGCGUCUGAUUAGCUAGUUGGUGAGGUUACGGCUCACCAAGGCGACGAUCAGUAGCUGGUCUGAGAGGAUGAUCAGCCACACUGGGACUGAGACACGGCCCAGACUCCUACGGGAGGCAGCAGUGGGGAAUAUUGGACAAUGGGGGCAACCCUGAUCCAGCCAGGCCGCGUGAGUGAUGACGGCCGUAGGGUUGUAAAGCUCUUUUCUCCGGGACGAUAAUGACGGUACCGGAGGAAUAAGCCCCGGCUAACUUCGUG